CGCGGAAAAGGUAGCUUGGCGGCUUGUGCUAAAGAAGGGCCUUUGAAGGGUCAACUCCCCUCAUUCCAGGUGACCAGUGGUCCUCCUUUCUGAAGGCUCUUGCUACAAAGGAAAGAUGAGGAUAUUCUAUUUCUUGAUCCCUCUCAGCUACUGGGAGCUGCUUUGUGCCUUGGAAGCCUCAAGCUGAAAUGGAUGUCAGCCUCAAGUUUAACUCCAAGAGGGUUCACCUUGUUUCUUUGAACAAAAUGUGCUGCCUGUUGCUUCCCUUUGCCAGGAGUGGUGUUCCCUUUUCCACAGGUCUGGACCACAGUGUCUCUAGCUCCCGCUCCUGGAUACUUGGUUACUGUGUGUUUCGGUAAAAAAGCAUCCACAACAUGAAUAUCCACUAAGCUGUAACAGGGCCUGCUGCAACUAUAGUAUUUCCUGAAAAAGUAUCAACUGCCACAAGGGCCACAAAUAAAGUCUGUGAACUUGAAAUAACCAUGGAGAAUGAAAUGUUCUGAUUCAGAUCAUCGGUGGGAUUUCACUGGGAAAUCUCCCACUGGGCAAGAGUAGAUGAUGGAGGAGGAGAAACAGUCACUAGAAAAAGGUGAUACUUUGUAUCAAGAAACAAUUAAAAAUUAGAUCACAUCCUGAAACAUUAAGCAUAUGCUCCUUUGUGAGGCUUGCCUGGCUGAACUUGAACUGGAUUGAGUGAAUAAUUUCUUAAAAACAAUCAAAAUCACAGAUUUAUUCUAUUUUAAAUACUUAUAUUUACUUAUAUUUCAUUCAGAAAUUAGUUAACAAAUAAUUUUUGAGUAUCCUGGGAACUGUUCUAAUCAUUAAACAUGCAAGUUUGAAGAAAGUAAGGAUGAAUCUGCCUGCGUGGGGCUCUCAAUCUAGCGAGAAGCAGAUAAGAAGACAAAUGUCAGGGAAGAUCACACAACCUUCAGGAUCUAAACCUUAACCUUCCUGGCUGAUGCUGAAAGAGAGCUUGUAUGAAACACGUUCUUACAAAACUAUUUGGUGGAUCGUGACAAAGACGAAUGACUGGGUACUAUAAUUUAAAAUGGAAAAUAAGGGAUGGAGAAGACUUAAUCCUAUCUGGAAGGAGCCAGUGCACAGCAAAGAUGGCAGAGAGAGAAAAGAGAGGGAGUGACAAUGAAGUAAGGCUACAGAGAGAUGACCAAGUGUCCCAGAGGAGGAAUUCUCUUUCGGAAAGAGAUAGACACCUCUUCC
This 1218-nucleotide long non-coding RNA is filed under the name Homo sapiens (human). Its description in RNAcentral is "long non-coding RNA NONHSAT160595.1". The record is from RNAcentral. Lineage: Eukaryota; Metazoa; Chordata; Mammalia; Primates; Hominidae.